UUCCAGACUCCUACGGGAGGCAGCAGUGAGGAAUAUUGGUCAAUGGGCGGAAGCCUGAACCAGCCAAGUCGCGUGAGGGAAUAAGGCCCUACGGGUCGUAAACCUCUUUUGCCGGGGAGCAAGGGCGGGGACGUGUCCCGGCCCGGAGAGUACCCGGAGAAAAAGCAUCGGCUAACUACGUGCCAGCAGCCGCGGUAAUACGUAGGGGGCAAGCGUUGUUCGGAAUGACUGGGCGUAAAGGGUGUGUAGGCGGUGUAGCAGGUUAGAAGUGAAAUACCUAGAGCUUAACUCAGGUGCUGCUUCUAAAACUGCUAUACUUGAGUGCAGUAGAGGAAAGUGGAAUUCCUAGUGUAGCGGUGGAAUGCGUAGAUAUUAGGAGGAACAUCAGUGGCGAAGGCGACUUUCUGGACUGUAACUGACGCUGAGGCACGAAAGUGUGGGGAGCAAACAGGAUUAGAUACCCGAGUAAG
This 470-nucleotide ribosomal RNA is filed under the name uncultured bacterium. RNAcentral's name for it is "bacterial SSU rRNA". It matches the Rfam family "Bacterial small subunit ribosomal RNA", at positions 329 to 793 of the family's 1533-position model. The record is from RNAcentral.